RNAcentral lists this ribosomal RNA (497 nucleotides) under uncultured bacterium. RNAcentral's name for it is "partial 16S ribosomal RNA". It matches the Rfam family "Bacterial small subunit ribosomal RNA", at positions 28 to 507 of the family's 1533-position model. The record is from RNAcentral.
GAUGAACGCUGGCGGCGUGCCUAAUACAUGCAAGUCGAGCGGACGGACGAUAAGCUUGCUUCUCUGAUGUUAGCGGCGGACGGGUGAGUAACACGUGGAUAACCUACCUAUAAGACUGGGAGAACUUCGGGAAACCGUAGCUGAUACCGGAUAAUAUGUUGUACCGCAGGGUUCAAAAGUUAAUGACAGUCUUGCUGUCACUUAGAGAUGGUGCCGCGCUGCAUUAGCUAGUUGGUAAGGUAACGGCUUACCAAGGCAACGAUGCAUAGCCGACCUGAGAGGGUGAUCGGCCACACUGGAACUGAGACACGGUCCAGACUCCUACGGGAGGCAGCAGUAGGGAAUCUUCCGCAAUGGGCGAAAGCCUGACGGAGCAACGCCGCGUGAGUGAUGAAGGUCUUCGGAUCGUAAAACUCUGUUAUUAGGGAAGAACAUAUGUGUAAGUAAAUGUGCACAUCUUGACGGUACCUAAUCAGAAAGCCACGGCUAACUACGUG